Molecule: ribosomal RNA, 1037 nt
Filed under: Semilabeo obscurus
Lineage: Eukaryota; Metazoa; Chordata; Actinopteri; Cypriniformes; Cyprinidae
Description: partial large subunit ribosomal RNA
Rfam family: Bacterial large subunit ribosomal RNA (bases 185-1037)
Source: RNAcentral
AAACAGCUAGCUUAUCCACCAAUAUAACCAAAUAAUAUAAAUAAAAUAGAAUAGGCCGAACACCAAAAACUAAACCAUUCUUUUACCUGAGUAUGGGAGACAGAAAAGGUUCAACCAAAGCAAUAGAAAUAGUACCGCAAGGGAAAGCUGAAAGAGAAAUGAAAUAACCCAUAUAAGUAACAAAAAGCAAAGACUAAACCUUGUACCUUUUGCAUCAUGAUUUAGCCAGUAAACACAAGCAAAGAGACCUUUAGUUUGAAACCCCGAAACCAGGUGAGCUACCCCGAGACAGCCUAUUAAGGGCCAACCCGUCUCUGUGGCAAAAGAGUGGGAAGAGCUCCGGGUAGAAGUGACAGACCUACCGAACCUGGUGAUAGCUGGUUGCCUAAGAAAUGAAUAGAAGUUCAGCCUCGUACACCUCAAAUCAAAUAAACACCAAUCAAGACACCAAGAGAAAGACACGAGAGUUAGUUAAAGGGGGUACAGCCCCUUCAACAAAGGACACAACCUUAUUCAGGAGGAUAAAGAUCAUAAUAUAUAAAACAUACUGUUCUAGUGGGCCUAAAGGCAGCCACCUAAACAGAAAGCGUUAAAGCUCAGACAGAAAAAAGUUUAUUAUUCUGAUAAAAAAUCUUACUCCCCUAAAUACUAUUAGGCUAAUCCAUGCCCCCAUGGAAGAAAUUAUGCUAAAAUGAGUAACAAGAAGGCCCGCCCUUCUCCAAGCACAAGUGUAAGCCAAACCGGACCAACCAUUGGCAACUAACGAACUCAACCCAAGAGAGCAAUGUGAACCAUAAAAAAAACCAGAAAAACCCACAACUCAACAAUCGUUAACCCCACACUGGAUUGCUAUUAAAGGAAAGACUAAAAGAAAAGGAAGGAACUCGGCAAACACAAGCCUCGCCUGUUUACCAAAAACAUCGCCUCCUGCAACGCAGCCAUGUAUAGGAGGUCCAGCCUGCCCAGUGACUACAAGUUCAACGGCCGCGGUAUUUUGACCGUGCAAAGGUAGCGCAAUCACUUGUCUUUUAAAUAGA